Molecule: ribosomal RNA, 467 nt
Filed under: uncultured bacterium
Lineage: Bacteria
Description: partial 16S ribosomal RNA
Rfam family: Bacterial small subunit ribosomal RNA
Source: RNAcentral
GACGAACGCUGGCGGCGUGCUUAACACAUGCAAGUCGAACGGAAAGGCCCUGCUUUUGUGGGGUGCUCGAGUGGCGAACGGGUGAGUAACACGUGAGUAACCUGCCCUUGACUUUGGGAUAACUUCAGGAAACUGGGGCUAAUACCGGAUAGGAGCUCCUGCUGCAUGGUGGGGGUUGGAAAGUUUCGGCGGUUGGGAUGGUCUCGCGGCUUUUCAGCUUGUUUGUGGGGUAGUGGCAUACCAAGGCUUUGACGGGUAGCCGGCCUGAGAGGGUGACCGGGCACAUGGGGACUGAGAUACGGACCAGACUCCUACGGGAGGCAGCAGUGGGGAAUAUUGCACAAUGGGCGGAAGCCUGAUGCAGCAACGCCGCGUGCGGGAUGACGGCCUUCGGGUUGUAAACCGCUUUCGCCUGUGACGAAGCGUGAGUGACGGUAAUGGGUAAAGAAGCACCGGCUAACUACGUG